AAUGCCCUCUGAUUUCGGUCAGCUGGGUUCAAUGUGUGCCAUCUCUUCGGAGGUGGCCAUCCACACACACCGUGAACUGUGGCUUCGGCCAUCACAAACUAUUAGUAAUGAAUGUAAAAAUCAUAACAAAAUAAAACUUUUAACAACGGAUCUCUUGGCUCU
This 162-nucleotide unclassified non-coding RNA is filed under the name rhizosphere metagenome. RNAcentral's name for it is "partial ribosomal RNA internal transcribed spacer region". The record is from RNAcentral.